Long non-coding RNA from Alligator sinensis (Chinese alligator), 384 nucleotides. RefSeq lists it as uncharacterized. NCBI's taxonomy places the organism in Eukaryota, Metazoa, Chordata, Crocodylia, Alligatoridae. The record is from RefSeq and is a predicted model, not a curated record. The transcript has 4 exons.
UCAUACAGUUACUACUUUAAGUUUUGCCCCCAAAAGGAGUCACCAUAGAUCUCUGAUUGUACAAAUUAGGGGCAUGGAGUAGACAGUUAAUUAAUGACAAAUGUAACUGCUACUGGACAGAGAGCAUAGGUCCUGCUGGCAGCGACUAACCACUUCUGUUAGAAGCCCUACUCAACAAUCAGGAUUUUGAUCUACCAGAUUGCCUGUGGUCACCCCUGCACUGUUUCCAUGCUCUUCAAGGCCAGUGCAUUGCCAACAGACACAGCUGCUUUAAAAUGUCUGGAACGGUAACUGGGAUGUUGGGAAAAGUCAAACUGUAACUCCACCACUUCUGACUAUUAUUACUAAAAAUCUAAAUGGAAAAUCUUAAGGAACCAUUAAACA